GACGAACGCUGGCGGCGUGCUUAACACAUGCAAGUCGAACGGUAAGGCCCUUUCGGGGGUACACGAGUGGCGAACGGGUGAGUAACACGUGGGUGAUCUGCCCUGCACUUUGGGAUAAGCCUGGGAAACUGGGUCUAAUACCGGAUAGGACUACGCGAUGCAUGUCGUGUGGUGGAAAGCUUUUGCGGUGUGGGAUGGGCCCGCGGCCUAUCAGCUUGUUGGUGGGGUGAUGGCCUACCAAGGCGACGACGGGUAGCCGGCCUGAGAGGGUGUCCGGCCACACUGGGACUGAGAUACGGCCCAGACUCCUACGGGAGGCAGCAGUGGGGAAUAUUGCACAAUGGGCGCAAGCCUGAUGCAGCGACGCCGCGUGGGGGAUGACGGCCUUCGGGUUGUAAACCCCUUUCAGCACAGACGAAGCGUAAGUGACGGUAUGUGCAGAAGAAGCACCGGCCAACUACGUA
RNAcentral lists this ribosomal RNA (464 nucleotides) under uncultured bacterium. RNAcentral's name for it is "partial 16S ribosomal RNA". It matches the Rfam family "Bacterial small subunit ribosomal RNA", at positions 28 to 507 of the family's 1533-position model. The record is from RNAcentral.